This 515-nucleotide ribosomal RNA is filed under the name uncultured bacterium. Its description in RNAcentral is "bacterial SSU rRNA". It matches the Rfam family "Bacterial small subunit ribosomal RNA", at positions 798 to 1317 of the family's 1533-position model. The record is from RNAcentral.
CACGGUAAACGAUGGAUGCCCGCUGUUUGCGAUAUACAGUAAGCGGCCAAGCGAAAGCGUUAAGCAUCCCACCUGGGGAGUACGCCGGCAACGGUGAAACUCAAAGGAAUUGACGGGGGCCCGCACAAGCGGAGGAACAUGUGGUUUAAUUCGAUGAUACGCGAGGAACCUUACCCGGGCUUGAACUGCAGCAGACGGAUACAGAGAUGUUGACUCCCUUCGGGGCUGCUGUGGAGGUGCUGCAUGGUUGUCGUCAGCUCGUGCCGUGAGGUGUCGGCUUAAGUGCCAUAACGAGCGCAACCCCUGCUGUCAGUUGCCAUCAGGUUAUGCUGGGCACUCCGGCAGGACUGCCACCGUAAGGUGUGAGGAAGGUGGGGAUGACGUCAAAUCAGCACGGCCCUUACGUCCGGGGCUACACACGUGUUACAAUGGGUGAUACAGAGAGCAGGUGCAUGGCAAUAUGCAUCGAAUCAUGAAAGUCAUCCUCAGUUCGGAUUGGGGUCUGCAACCCGACC